Molecule: long non-coding RNA, 5474 nt
Organism: Hemicordylus capensis (graceful crag lizard)
Lineage: Eukaryota; Metazoa; Chordata; Lepidosauria; Squamata; Cordylidae
Exons: 3
Source: RefSeq, a predicted model, not a curated record
GUUACUCUCCCCCUGCUAAAUAAAGAAAAUCACCACGGUAAAAGGUGCCUCUUUGCCCAGUUAGCAGGGGCAGGCCUAGUUAGCAGGGGCAGUUAUAUUACGAUCACAGUUUUAUUACGAUCACAGACCAGCACAGCACACAGCUCAGCUUGCAGCUCCUAAGGCUCAGCAAAACUUCCCUUAUAUUAUUGCCUUAUAUUAUAUUAUUAUAUUAUUGCUCUUUCUGCACAGAUCCCUGUGCUGCUCUUCCAGGUGCAGGCUCUGCAAGAGAGGAAACAGCAGGAUGGAAGCUUUCAUUGAUUCCUGCUUGCCAGAUUAUGGGCUCCAUUGGGUCUGCUUUGGCAGGAAAGAGGCAAUCUCUUCCUCCCUGUCCCUUUCAAAGGGUUAAGAAGGAAUAAAAGAGAAAGCCCAAUCACAGCUCAUGGCUGAGAUUCUUGGGGAGGCUGGCCUCAGGAAUACUCUUCAGCUUCCUCUGGCCUUUUAUGUACUAAUGUAUAAUUAUUUAUUAAUAGAUAUAUGCCCUGCCUUUCAAAUAUAUUUUCCUAGGGAGCUUACAGAACAAGAAUUAACAUAUUAUAAAGUACAAAGAACUAUAAUAAAGAUUAUAAUGAUAAAGCAGCAGAUAAAAAGAAACUGCAGAUAAUAAAGCAUAAACCAAUCCAAUUUGAGGACAAAGAGCUUCUUAAAAAUCCGGGUAUAAUUAAAAAAAGUAUUUUCCCAGCCGCUGAAAAUAAUACAGUGUAGGCACCAGGUAAACAUCCCAAGAGUAUUCCAUUAGUGGGGCACCAUACAUUCCAUUGAUGGGAUGCCGCCACCAAGAAGAUCCCACUGCAACUCAUUUGGCAGGAGCACCCAAGUAAGAGCCUUUAAUUAUGACCAAAGUGAUAAAAGCUGAUAUAAAAGCAGAUGAUUCAAGUAGGAACAUAGGAAGUUGCCUUAUACUGAGUCAGACCAUUGGGCCAUCUAGCUCAGUAUUGUCUACACAGACUGGCAGUGGCUUCUCCCAGUUUGCAAACAAGAGUCUCUCAGGAAUCUCAUCUCCUUUCUUGGAGAUGUCAGGGAGGGAACUUGGAACCUUCUGCAUCCAAGCAUGCAGAUGCUCUUCCCAGAGCAGCCCCAUUGCCUAAGGGGAAUAUCUUACAGUGCUUACAUGUAGUCUCCUAUUCAAAUGCAAACUAGGGCUGACCCUGCUUAGCAAAGGGCACAGUUCUCACUUGCUACCACAAGACCAGCUCACCUCCCUGGAGAUCAGCUUACCUCCCUAAAGCAGGGGUUCCCAACAGGAGGUACUGUACCGCUAGGUGUACUAGAAGGGCUCCCAGGGGGUACUCAGAGCCCUCCUGGCGCUGAAUAAACACAAAUAUAAAUGUUGCAGUUAUGAGAGAAACUACUGCAAUCACUGGCUCACAUUUAGAUUAAGAUACUCAUAAGCAGUUUUAUUGGCAUUAAUGGGAAAGGUUUACCUGUCCUAUUAAUUUUAAUUAGUACCUGUACACACACACGCACACACACACACACAGAGUCUCUAUGGGGUACUUGAGUCAAAGGUUUGUGACAGAAGGGGUAUACUUGUUUUCAAAGGUUGGAAACCCUGGUCUAUAGAUUCCAGAUUCAACAUUCUAGCCAUUGCAUCACUGGUUCUUACCGUUCAAAGAGCUGUUCUAAUUGGCACUUCUAGCUACUUGUAAUUAUUGGGACAAAAGUAACUUUUUGUUGCAGAGUUUUGCAGAUUUGCAGUCUCAAUGAAGGCAGAAGCAUUUUGGCCAGCUCAAAAGGUGAGUUCAGGGCAAGUGAACUUGAUUCUUCCAGAUCCAGCAAAUUCAGGCAACAGAUGCAGAAUGAUUCUGUCAUUUAUGGAUGGCACUAUGAGCAUGCAUUUUAAUCUUAGGCCAACAUUAGCAUGAAUAUAUAAAUAGACUCAGAAAUCAUGUAAGCAAAAUUACCAUUUGAUUACUGGUUUCCUGGCGAAGACUGCAUCCAGAGCAGCAGUGUUAUCACAUUUCAUUGCAGUUUUGUCCCUCACCGUUACAGUACUAAUCUUUGCAUAUUUUUCUUCCAGAAUCGUAGGCUCAAGUUUCAUUAUAGAUUACUUGUAAGGCGAUCUGGGAUCCUGUUGUUGGAAGGAGCAACUUAGGAUAUGAUGCACUUGGAUCCAGUCAAGUAUAUGGAAAAUACACUGAGGUUAUUAUCACAGGCAGAGAUCAUAGAGAAAGGCAAAAGAAUGGACAGAAUUGAAAGAGUUAUGUAUAAAUUGUUCCACCUGACUGAAAUCUGAAACACUGCUGCUCUUCAUAGAAGUUAAAAUGGUAAAGGACAGUCACAGUUUGAAGGCUAUAUCACUAUGAACUUGGCGGGUCUGGGUGACUAAUCAGUUUCUUUGCUGUAGAGAGAACUAUUUCCAUUUCCUGCUUCAUGUACUAGGACAAUUAUAUUCCAGCAGCUGGCAUUGAAUAUGGGCUGAAACCAGUUUUCAGUUUAUUAUGAUGACUCUUUUGAAUAGCACAUUGCAGUCACUUGGGGUAGCAAAAUAUCUUAGGAUGUCCCUCCUUGGAGGAUUGUAUAAGCCAAAACCAGCUCUUCAGAAAUAACAGGGAAUUAGCACAGUUUUCUCUAAAUUAUUUCUAAACCUUACAGAGGAACAAAUAUCGUUAUGAUAUGCAGGUAUGCAUACAGUGAGGGAGCCCUAGCUCAAUGGUACAGCACAUGUUUUGCAUGCAGACAAUCCCAGGUUCAUUCCUUGGCAUCUCCAGUUGCAAAGAUGUCAAGAAGCAGGACUAGCGAAGACUCCUGAGACCACGGAGGUCUGAGACCUUUGAGAGAUACUGCCAGUCAGGGCAAGAAGUAUUGGGCUAGAUGGCCUCAUGCAUACAACUUAUAAUCUUCCCUGCAUAUAUAAUGGCUUUUAUUCAACAGCUGAUAUCAAUAUAAUUAAAUGAGAUAGAGAAGUACCUUUUCUUGCUUCCCAUAUAUCCUGUGUAGAAAUCCAUCCAUUUAUUAUUCAGUUUCAUGGUCAUUCAUCAAUAUGUGAUUUUAUUAGAGAGCAAAUGUAACUGUCAAUUGCCACUGCUGUAAGUAUUGGAUAUCUGGUGCUAGAGAAAGCAGGAAUAAUAAGCACAGGAAAUAUCAAUAUGGAUUAAUGUGAGGGCCAUAGAGCUGAGGAAUUAUUCAUUUGGGUUUGGUUGCAUAAUAUAUAGUAAAGUGAGAUAAAUUCGUGAUUCAGAUCUCAUUGAUCUAGCUGGAACUCACUGAAGAUUGUGGCUAGGUUUUUGGCUUUGUUUCUUUGCAAGCUUCCCAUUGGAAGCUUAAUCAUUUAAUUCAUUUGUUUGUAAAAUUUCUAUAUUGCUCCAUAGCAAAUUUCUCUGAGUAGUUUCCCAUAAAAUACAGUAAAAUCGAUUUCAAAACCACCAUAUAUAUGUGAGAGAGGGAUUAAAAACAAAACCUGCAGCUCAGAAACUGAGUAAGUUAAAAGCUCUUUGAAAUUAAAAGGAUUUUCACCUACCAACUGAAAUCCAGUAGGAAGGGUGCCAAGCAAAACUCCCUGGGCAGGAAAUUCUUCAGCUAGGGUGCUACUACUGAGAAGGCUGUAGAUCUGGGGUGGCCAACCUGAGGCUCUCCAGCUGUUGAUGACUACAACUCCCAUCAACCCCAGCUGCAAUUUAUUGCAACUGGGAAUGAUGGGAGUUGUAGUCCACCAACAGCUGGAAAGCUUCAGAUUAGCCACCCCAAUUUAGUUAUAAGAUCCCUGAUCUAGUUAUUAAAUCCCUGGCAUGAUGAGACGUGGUACAAAGGGAUGCAAGGUGGGGAAGCUCUUGUGUGUCCCAGAACAGAAGAUGCAUAUAAGAUUCUUGAUCUACAGCCUUCUCAGGAGAUCAGGGAUCUUCUCAUGCAGGCAGUGGACCAACGUGGCCAGAGAAAUGUGGCUGCCUCAUCACACCAUACUCCUUCUUUCAUGCCAAGCCCAAAAUAUGUUGUAUGAAGUUAUUGGGACAGCUGGACUCUGGUGGGGCUGCAGGUAGGCAAGGAGGAUCCUUAACUGUUAUGGGAGUGAGCCAAGCCAGAGAAAGGAAGCUCCCAAUACUGACAAGCUGCCAACAUGAUCCUUCAUAGGGGACUGUGAUCCCAUUUAGAUUACACUAUUCACCAGUUACUCAGUUUAAUACCCAGCCUUGUCUUAUGGACUGAGCUUCAGUUUAUUGGGCCUCAUCCAUUGCAGUCCCGGUUCCAGACAAUGAUUCAGGAAUUUCAUUGUUUUUUAGGAUGUUAGACUAAGGGGCCAUCCACCUAAUGGUGCAAUGGGGAAAUGACUUGAUUAGCAAGCCAGAGGUUGCUGGUUUGAAUCCCCGCUGGUAUGUUUCCCAGACUAUGGGAAACACCUAUAUCAGGCAGCAGCGAUAUAGGAAGAUGCUGAAAGGCAUCAUCUCAUACUGCACAGGAGGAGGCAAUGGUAAACCCCUCCUGUAUUCUACCAAAGACAACCACAGGGCUCUGUGGUGGCCCGAGUCGACACCGACUCGACGGCACACUUUUACCUUUAGGAUAAGGGAAGAUAUAACUCAUCUACAUAUCGAUGAUACUACGCUCUAUAUCCCCUGACGUUCUUCCUCAGUGAUUUAACUGAAACGCGAAAAAUAUUAGGGAACAGAAAUUAAUCCCCUGGCACCCACAAGGAAACUCAAAUGGACAUGAACCUUCUAGCACUACUUUCUAAAACCUACUUGGAAAUAGGAGUGGAAUCACUAACAAAAUAGCCACCUUGCCAGAUAAUCCAGAAGAAUAUCAAAGUCAGUCAGUCAGUCAGAAUAUUAAAAUCAGACACCUCUGAGAGGUCCAGGAGCAUCAACAGGAACAAAAGUUACCUUCUCUGUCCCCCAGCAAAGAUCAUCCAUCGGCACAACAAAGGCAGUUUAUGUUCAAAAGUUAGCAGGGGUAACAAGAAAACUACAGUACAGCAAAGAAAACUACAAUACAGCAUGGAAAGUACAUGCCUCAUAUUUUGCAAAUUGAUCACACUGCCACUAAUUUCCAUGAGGCUCCAGGCAGGAGCAAUGAUAAAUGUAUGAGCAGUUAUUCUAACUGUAAGGACCCAAAAUGGGUUCUAGAUUUUGUUUUUCCUGAUUUUGCAGAAUCGGUGUCUCUUUAUGUGUCAUUUCCUAGUGUAGAUAAAACGGUGGAAGCAAAUGUACAAACUUUAGCAGCUAGCUUACUGACAUUAAAAUAAUAAUAAUAAUAAUAAUAAUAAUAAUAAUAAUAAUAAUAAUAAUAAUAAUAAUACUCCUAGACCUCAUGGGCAUGGCACUGAAGCUUGCAAGCCUAAAGGAGUUUGUAUCCUAGAGUCUGAAUCACUGUUAAACAGCUGGUUGUAGUGCUACCUAAAUUAUAUGUUAAAUAGAACUUGACUUAUUUAGGAAUAUGCUUCUCACUCUUCCAACAUGCAGCUUCUUUGUACCUCCAACUGCUAUGCAAAUGCCCUUGAA